This is a long non-coding RNA of Sander lucioperca (pikeperch), 951 nucleotides long. RefSeq lists it as uncharacterized. The record is from RefSeq and is a predicted model, not a curated record. The transcript is spliced from 3 exons. NCBI's taxonomy places the organism in Eukaryota, Metazoa, Chordata, Actinopteri, Perciformes, Percidae.
AAUAGCAUACACAGCAGAGCACAAUUCCUAAUAAGAACACAUUGCUACUCAUUUUCAUUAAGGUGCUCAUAUUAUGCUCAUCUUCAUGUUCAUAAUUGUAUUUAGAGAUUGUACCAGAAUAAGUUUACAUGGUUUAAAAAAAAAGUGCUUUUUCACUUUGUAAACCUAUAACGUGCACAACAAAGAUAUAUAACAGAAUAAAGGUAAGGGAAAAAGCCAAAAAGCAUAAUAUGAGCACUUUAACAUGUUAUUUAUGAGAAACGGCUCCAGUAAUCCAGACUGUCCUCGUAAGCAAUAUCAAAUCCUCUAUUUCUCUUUUUAUAUUUGAUAUUACCUCUGACAUGCAGAAUGAUUAGACUAAUUAUUCUUUUGUUUUCUUUUUGUUUGUCCUAAAAAAUGUGUGUCUGCUGCAUCAGACUUAGUUGAAGACGCUGUUUGAAUAGGCCUCUUUUAUGUGUUUGCUUUGUCUAUAGCUAAAGAUGAAAUGCCCAGUUUUCUCAUUAAUAAAUUAUAAUGUACUUCUGAUGCCGAUUUUAAGAAAUGUUCACUAAUCGGUCUUUACACUGAUGACUUGUUAACCACAGUUUAUUUGACAUAUACAUUUGAAAUCCUUCAUGGAUUAUACCUUUAAGUGUUUUCCAAGAAAAUUCCCUCUGAAUAAUGAGGAUUAAUGUUCUGAGGAAUGGAAGUCAAUCACAUCAACUCAACCGAGAGUGACUCUGUUUUCAAUGACGAACAUUUUGAUAUAUUUUAACUUGAUAGGGCACUAUAGCUCAGUCCUCUCAUCCCGUCUCAUCACCAUCUGGUAUUUUGCACCCAAUGAUUGCCCAAGUGUCUUUGUAAUCAACUUCUAAUAUACUUUAAGACUGUAUAAAAGGGACUGUAGUUUGAUUUAAAUCCUGUCUGGGUGCUUAACGCUAUCCAUAUAAAGCCCUGUCGGCAGGAAACAAG